GAAAUUUUCAGAGAUGAGAAUGUGCCUUCGGGAACCGUGAGACAGGUGCUGCAUGGCUGUCGUCAGCUCGUGUUGUGAAAUGUUGGGUUAAGUCCCGCAACGAGCGCAACCCUUAUCCUUUGUUGCCAGCGAUUAGGUCGGGAACUCAAAGGAGACUGCCAGUGAUAAACUGGAGGAAGGUGGGGAUGACGUCAAGUCAUCAUGGCCCUUACGACCAGGGCUACACACGUGCUACAAUGGCGCAUACAAAGAGAAGCGACCUCGCGAGAGCAAGCGGACCUCAUAAAGUGCGUCGUAGUCCGGAUUGGAGUCUGCAACUCGACUCCAUGAAGUCGGAAUCGCUAGUAAUCGUGGAUCAGAAUGCCACGGUGAAUACGUUCCCGGGCCUUGUACACACCGCCCGUCACACCAUGGGAGUGGGUUGCAAAAGAAGUAGGUAGCUUAACCUUCGGGAGGGCGCUUACCACUUUGUGAUUCAUGACUGGGGUGAAGUCGUAACAAGGUAACCGUAGGGGAACCUGCGGUUGGA
RNAcentral lists this ribosomal RNA (529 nucleotides) under Salmonella enterica subsp. enterica serovar Muenchen. RNAcentral's name for it is "bacterial SSU rRNA". It matches the Rfam family "Bacterial small subunit ribosomal RNA", at positions 993 to 1522 of the family's 1533-position model. The record is from RNAcentral. Lineage: Bacteria; Pseudomonadati; Pseudomonadota; Gammaproteobacteria; Enterobacterales; Enterobacteriaceae.